AGUUAAAAAAUGUUGGUACAAAUUGCACGUUGUAUAUAUUUUGGGUCGAUUUUGAUACAAAUUGACUACACCCGUUCAAUCACAUCCUGGUUGUUUUGUUCAAGGACAGCAUAGAUAAUCUAUAGCAGGCAGACACUGUUUUGACUGUUUAGGCAAUGCAUCUAUUAUCAAGAUACAAUAUUAUUAUGUAAGCCAUGAUUCAGAACCGGUAUG
This is a non-coding RNA of Cinara cedri, 213 nucleotides long. The record is from the annotation of a GenBank genome assembly. NCBI's taxonomy places the organism in Eukaryota, Metazoa, Arthropoda, Insecta, Hemiptera, Aphididae.